RNAcentral lists this ribosomal RNA (429 nucleotides) under Chloroflexota bacterium. RNAcentral describes it as "Chloroflexi bacterium partial 16S ribosomal RNA". It matches the Rfam family "Bacterial small subunit ribosomal RNA", at positions 355 to 776 of the family's 1533-position model. Lineage: Bacteria; Bacillati; Chloroflexota. The record is from RNAcentral.
UGGGGAAUAUUGCACAAUGGGCGCAAGCCUGAUGCAGCCAUGCCGCGUGUAUGAAGAAGGCCUUCGGGUUGUAAAGUCCUUUCAGCGGGGAGGAAGGGAGUAAAGUUAAUACCUUUGCUCAUUGACGCUACCCGCAGAAGAAGCACCGGCUAACUCCGUGCCAGCAGCCGCGGUAAUACGGAGGGUGCAAGCGUUAAUCGGAAUUACUGGGCGUAAAGCGCACGCAGGCGGUUUGUUAAGUCAGAUGUGAAAUCCCCGGGCUCAACCUUGGAACUGCAUCUGAUACUGGCAAGCUUGAGUCUCGUAGAGGGGGGGAGAAUUCCAGGUGUAGCGGUGAAAUGCGUACAGAUCUGGAGGAAUCCCGGUGGCGAAGGCGGCCCCCUAGACGAAGACUGACGCUCAGGUGCGAAAGCGUGGGGAGCAAACAGG